Mya arenaria is the source of this 4151-nucleotide long non-coding RNA. RefSeq lists it as uncharacterized. Lineage: Eukaryota; Metazoa; Mollusca; Bivalvia; Myida; Myidae. The record is from RefSeq and is a predicted model, not a curated record. The transcript is spliced from 10 exons.
CAAGGAUGCAUUGGAUAACAGAACUUAUAUGCUUGUGGUGCUGCCCUUUAACUAUGGAUUGAACAUAUGAAAAGUCAACACUGCCUGAAUGUGCUGGAUGCAAGUCCAGAUAACCCAUCUACGGGCUCCAGGCCAUAGCUGAUGCAGAGGAAACCAAGGAAACUGAUAUUGGAUAUGUGAGGUGUUGUUGCGUCAAUGGCGUCCUGUGAUUAUUGAGGACAUCCUCGUGGAAGCGUUCCAGCAAUACAACCGGGAGUCAUCUACGCCACAAGAUUGUGAAACUUGGAGGGUAAGAUGGAAGAGCGGGAUGUGGACCAGCUUAUCCGAGAGAAGGAACCAGACUGAUGGACAACUUACCUAUUGGGGACUUGACCCAGCAGCUCUUCUUCCUCAAUCAAGCCCAGCAGGCUGGUCUAACAUUUUUCAAAACUCCACAGAAAUGUGAUGCCUGGAAAUUGGAUGCCUUCGGAGUAUGUGCAUAAGGCUCAGGACUACAUAUGCGGAUUGAGAUAUCUAGGAUAGCCACUGGGAGCUCCUUGGCCAUUUUCCAUCGAAAACAACCUCAGAUGUUAAUGGACGGUUUACAAGAUGUACUGGCAAACAUCAAGGUUAUUUUCGAUUGAAAAUGGCCGAGAAGUUCCAAAUGCAAUGAUAGCAGGAAAUACAAAGUUCCACCUGGAUCUGCACUGGCGCACUUCAGUCCAUACUGUAGUAGAUGGAAAAUCAAAUGCUGAGAUGAUACGAAGUGGCUGCGACUGUGACCAGCUCAUCAAGGAGUGGCCAUAACAUUCUCCAACUUGAAGCCGAUGCCUGAAAACCGGUCAAGCUCUUCCAUAGGAAACACUACCUACAACGGUUUAAACAGCUUGAAAACAAUAUCUCGAAGUAACACCAUUUUGUACUGAAGCAGAUGGACCCAGAUUUGUGCAGUGCAGAGAGAUUGCUAAAUCAGAUGCUUCAUUGCUGAAAAUUGGAGGAGUUGUCUUGCCUGAACUCCCAUGUGAAUCUGUACCAAGGGCAUGGAUCUUGAACAACAGUGAUAUUUACAUAAGAAGAUAAGAGAAUACUUCAGAAAUGACAUAAAUAAUAGACAAAGCUACCCAGACCAUCUCAGCCAAAGCAAUGAACACACUGUUACCUUUUCUUCUUACAAUUUGUUUUGAAACAUCUGUCAUACAACUGAUGUAUGGUAGGGUGAAAUAUGUUUUCAACUAUAAUACAUUCUCUAUUGAAGGUUGUCUAUUGAAACCAACAAUUGGCAUUCAUUGUAUUUUUCGCCUGUGAACUUUUUUACGAAAAUUCCCUUGAUAGCUUACUUUAAAGAUGCUCUCUUACUCCCAUAUAAGAUGUACCACAAUUUAUUUAAAUGAUUUUAUAUACCAUAAAGGACAAAAACAUGUCCAAAACAAUAGUUCUUAUGAAGGAUACAGUUAAAUUUUAAGGAAAUUAUGAGUGGCUGGUUGAUCACAAUCUUUUAGCACUCACCAGUUGUUUAAUAUUUUGGCUUUUUCAGCUAUUAAUCAAGGUUAUUAUCAUGUAACAAAUAUUAGUAAUUUUUUCCAUAAAUGCAGUAUCAAGUAGUUAAUCAAUUAAAGUUUACAUAUGUUAUUCAUGUGUAUGAAUUGAAUUUGAAGUGUCACUUUAAAGUAAUUAUGGCUCCUCCAUUUAUGUUUUUGCCCUGUCUGUCAGUCAGCCUGUACGUCACACUUCGUUUCCACUCGUUUCCACUCAAUAACUAAAGAACGCUUGCACCCAGGAACUUCAUACUAUUUAUGCUAGUUGGUCAUGACUAGCAGAUGACCACAAUUGAUUUUGAGAUCACUAGGUCAAAGGUCAAGGUCGCGGUAGAUAUUCACUAUUUAAUAUGGGUGAAUAAACCAAAGUUCACUGUUAGUUCGUCUCCAGCCCAAAAUUACAAAUUUCAUUUCCAUCAUUUAUUUUUCUCAGAUACGACCACACAAUAGGGGAGACAAGGACUUUUUCAAAAAAGCAAUCUCUAGUUUCUGUUUACUUUUAAUGUCGGCGUGAAUAAUCAAUUUGAAAUUCAAUGUUUUACCACAGUUAUAAGAAGGCUGAACUGAAAUGUCAAAACAAAACAUGUUAUAUAUGUGUGUGUAUUUUAGUUUUGUUAUGGUAACAUUUCAGUUUUUGUUUUUUUAUCAUAUUUAUUAUUUACUAUAAUUUUGUAUCUUAGUCAAAUAGAUAGUAACAAAAGAACACAGUUUAUCAUAUGCUUUCCUGUACUUGAUAGAGAUUUAUCAGUGAAAUAAAAUAACCAUCUUCAUCAUUUAAUUAAUUUGAUUUUGUAUAUUCAUCUUUAAAAUGGUUGAAAUUUGAGAACUGACUACUUGGGAACGGUGUUAAGGGUAUUGUUUUUUGUCUUUUUUUAGUUUGGUAAAAAAAAUAAAAUUAUAUUGUGUAUAAUGAGUAUAGCUACAAAAUGCAUAAAUACCAGAAUUAACCUGUUAAUUGUAUUACUAUUUCUCAAUCUUUGGAAUGUAUUUUUUUUUUUGACAACAAUGAUCCACUCUGGACAUAAUUGAACACAUGUCUAAACAUAACGUUCAUCACAAAUGUAAAGUUUUUGUGUGUUAUUGAAGCGUUUUAUGUCAAGUGAUGUAUGGUCAGUGGAGGGCAAAGGCGGGAAUAUGCAUGGGGUUUAACUGUAUUGGUCAUUUUCAUGCUAGACUUAUGUGGUUAACUUCAUUUUUUUUUAAAUUUGAGUUGUUUAAUGUUGGCACAUAGAUGCUUUAUGGAUUUAAUGUUAUAAUUAUUAUCGGAAAAUGUUAAAGUCAGUGGGAACAUUUAUAUAAACAUGUGAAUCAAUUGUUUAGUUCAUUGGGAACAUUUAUAUAAACAUGUGAAAGGUCACGAAAUUAAAGUAUUUAAAAAAAAUACUGAUGAAUAAUGAUUGAAAUACGGAUAUAUUUUGAUCGCAUAGAAAAUAUGAAUGAAUUUUGAAGCAUUUAUGGUAUUCUGAGGUACAGUUUUCCAGAGUUAUUUUACAAACAGUUGAAGUUUUGAUCUCUGGUUUUUACCCCGUCUUGGAAUAUCAUAAUUUGUACAACGUUGUAUUAUUCGAACAUUGUAUAUACCGUAGAUGUUGUAUGGUAACAAUUUUUGGUAUAUAUGUAUAUUUGUAAUUUGUUUAAAGUCUGCCGGAGAAAAAUAAAUUGAUUGCAAGUCUUGCUCAAAGCAACAAAAGUGUUUGUGUUAGUUAUGUUAAGACAUAACCAUAACAAAUUUAACAAUAUAAGUAUUAUUACACAUACUCUUACCUUUUAGAAGAUAUUUCUAAAAUGACUGCCUAUACUUUUGUAUUUAAAGUAGAUUUUAAAUGCCUAUACUUUAAUUAUUUGAGUGUUUAUUAAAUGCCAUUAUCUUUGUCUUUGAGUUGAUUUUAGUGCCUUGAGUAAUUUGAGAAGUUUUUUUAAUUCCUACAUGUAGCUAGUCCCAAUUUCAGUUAGCCAAAAUGCAUACUUUAAUUGAUACAUAAAAAAAUGAUUUAUUGUAAUUAACGAAUCCUUUAUAAAGUAUAACAAAUUAUUGAAAAACAUAGUGAGCUUAGCUUAGUCCUGUUAUAAGAGACUUAAAAAAGUUCGAGAAAUUUGGGCGAUCAUCACCAUGUUUGUAUUUUUAAUGCCUUUAUUUUUGUUGAGUAGUUUUUUAAGACCUCUAGUUUGACCUUUAAGUAUUUCUAGUAUUAACUUUUGACACCUGAUGUGUUGCAUAUUGUGUUGCAUUUUAUUGUUGUUGCCAUGGAAACGGUGUUUAUAUCAAUGAAAGUAUUGUGAUGGUAACAUUAUUAAUAGCAACUAACAUGAUAUUACUAGAUAUUUGUCGCCACUUAUGUUAUUUUGUGUAUUAUUAUUAUAUUUAUAAUAUGUAUUAUGUAUUAAUUAUUUAUAUACAACUACAAAAUAUAUUAAAACAUGUUUUCUUGAAUUAUUAUCUCUUAAAUCGCCAAGUGGGGCCUUCCAUAGGCAAGGUAUCCAUGUCCAAAAUCUUUGGACAAUUCUGGACUCUAUUGUAUAAGGCCUUAUGAUGCAUGUUGUCGGCAGGGUUAUCUUGGACUAGAGUAGUGUACAAAUUUGUCCACCCAGAUAUGUAUUUCGGGAAAUGUUAUUAUGUUACUAUUGACUGUUAUGUUU